This is a non-coding RNA of Nelumbo nucifera (sacred lotus), 1076 nucleotides long. The record is from RefSeq and is a predicted model, not a curated record. Lineage: Eukaryota; Viridiplantae; Streptophyta; Magnoliopsida; Proteales; Nelumbonaceae.
CAAAAAGCAAAGAGAAGAGGGAGAUUGAACUUACUCCUCCCCAUCACCAUUGCAGAGCACAUGAAAAGCACAACCAUUUUCAUAAUACUAUCUGAGAACAAGAAAGGACGACCAUUGUUUCUGGUGGUGACGUGAACAGGUUAGCAUUAGCAUACUGGGUGCUUGGAUCAACAACCCCUUUGUCAAUACUCCAUGCAUUUUUCAUUGGAUCAACAAAACCUUUAUUUUUUUUUUCCUUCACACCAUCAGUGGACAGAAGACACGGUUGAGGUGAGUGGGAGUCCACGUUCUGUGCACCAGUGGGUUCAGUAGAUGCAUGCAUCGGUGGCCUUUGACCGUUAACAUGGGAUGGCCGGUUCAACCAGACACAAAAAGACAAAAAACAAAUGAAAAACUCCUGGUCCACGUUCCUCCACCGAACCCUACCCACACACCGGUGCGGUGACCCAAACCAGCAGCCAUCGGCGGCGAGAACUCUAGCGAUACAUUUUCUGGCCUCCUCCUCCUCUUCUUCUUCUUCUUACAAAACAAAGGCUUUCCUAUUUUCUCUUUUCAACAGAGCGAAGCCUUACACCAGCGGGAUUCUCCAAGCGAACGGAGAAACAAGGAACACCUUUUUACGAGGAUGCUAGACAACGUACCGACGAUGGCCGGUGUGGUGUGCUCGCCGAUGUGUGGGGUAGGAGGGUUCAGUAGAGGAGAAAAGAGAAAAUGAGAGGAACUGAGAGGGGUUUCAAUUUAGCUUUUGUCGUUUUGUGUUUGGUUCAACCGCACACUCCAAUUAACGUCCACUUGUCCGUUAACGUUAGCCCAUCGUUGCAAAGACGACGUGGUCGUCUCUCAUUGGCAGGUUCAUUUGUUCCGUGAGCCCACGGGUUCACAGAACACGGACUCGAUGAAUGGGGCCCUAAUCAUAAUUGCUUUCUUGUUUUGCGUUUAUCCAAUCAAAACCUUCCUGAAUUUCUUGUUUUGACUUUUCAUUCCUUUUUCUACCUUUUCAGCUUUUCUUUCAAACCAAUGGCAGCCUUAAUGAAAAUAUAUGUACCGAGAUCUUCACUGCAAUUGUUGUGAGGAUA